AUUGAACGCUGGCGGCAGGCUUAACACAUGCAAGUCGAGCGGAGAGAGGUAGCUUGCUACUGAUCUUAGCGGCGGACGGGUGAGUAAUGCUUAGGAAUCUGCCUAUUAGUGGGGGACAACAUUUCGAAAGGAAUGCUAAUACCGCAUACGUCCUACGGGAGAAAGCAGGGGAUCUUCGGACCUUGCGCUAAUAGAUGAGCCUCAGUCGGAUUAGCUAGUUGGUGGGGUAAAGGCCUACCAAGGCGACGAUCUGUAGCGGGUCUGAGGGGAUGAGCCGCCACACUGGGCCUGAGGCACGGCCCAGACUCCUACGGGAGGAAGCAGUGGGGAAUAUUGGACAAUGGGGGGACCCCUGAACUAGCCAUGCCGCGUGUGUGAAGAAGGCCUUAUGGUUGUAAAGCACUUUAAGCGAGGAGAAGGCUCUUUUGGUUAAUACCCAAGAUGAGUGGACGUUACUCGCAGAAUAAGCACCGGCUAACUCUGUGCCAGCCGCCGCCGUAA
Molecule: ribosomal RNA, 501 nt
Filed under: uncultured bacterium
Lineage: Bacteria
Description: partial 16S ribosomal RNA
Rfam family: Bacterial small subunit ribosomal RNA
Source: RNAcentral